UAUUCCUCUCGCGAGGCUUGCGUCCGCGCUCUAUCCGGAAGUGCUCGCCUAGCUCGAACCUGAAUCGGCUCGAGCGUUCGGCGAGGGCGGGAGUGAGCCGGGAGUUCCUCGCUGCGUGGGAAGACCAAAGACUAGAUUGUAGGAAAAGCAGAUAGAAGCCAUGUUUCGAAGACCUGUAUUACAGGUAUUUCAUCAGUUUGUAAGACGUGAGUCUGAAGUAGCCACCAGUUUGGUUCUUGAAAGAUCUCUGAACCGUGUGCAGCUGCUGGGGCGAGUGGGUCAGGACCCCGUCAUGAGACAGGUGGAGGGGAAAAAUCCAGUCACAAUAUUUUCUCUAGCGACAAAUGAGAUGUGGCGGUCCGGGGAGAGUGAAGCGUACCAGAUGGGUGAUGUCAGUCAAAAGACAACAUGGCACAGAAUCUCCGUAUUCCGCCCAGGCCUCAGAGAUGUGGCCUACCAGUAUGUGAAAAAGGGGUCCCGAAUCUAUGUAGAAGGGAAAGUAGACUAUGGUGAAUACACAGAUAAAAAUAACGUGAGGCGGCAAGCAACAACGAUCAUAGCUGAUAACAUUAUAUUUCUGAGUGACCAGACCAAAGAGAAGGCAUAGAGUGGACGAGUCUCCUUUGGCCAUUGUUUGGUACAGUCUCAUUUCCAAAUUAUGUAUAGUCUUUAUAGGUCCUAAGGACAAGAAUUAAAAUAUUAUUUUAUAUAAAAUGAAUGAUAAGACUUCUCAUGACUCUUACUCCCCCUCCCCUUUUUGUCUCAUAGGCCUUUGUAGCUAAUGAUUUAUUCUUUUAAGGAUGGUUUCUGUGUAUAAGUGUACAAAACAGUGAGCUGUCAGGUUCAUCUGUGUUAGAGCAAAGGGCUAAGUGUCCUUUGGGAUGCCCCCUUGUUUCUUGUGCACACUUUUAUAGUGUUGAUUCAGCCGCUGAGUAUUUGUUGAGCUUCACUGUGUGGCAGGCAUUUAUCCCAUGGUUGUGAACAACGAUUUUCUUACUGUUUGCCCUAUAAACUAGAUGGCAGGGACUGUAUCUUCUCUGUUUACCUGCCCCUUAACCAGGACUUGGCACAGUAUACUCGAUAAAUGGUGACAGAUGAAUGAUCCCAAUGGGAUAUUAAGCUUUAGCCCAAACUGGAAGGGGUUGCUGAACAGUGGUUGGUAUCUAACCUAGAGAGCUUCAAGACUAACAGACUAACCUACCUUCUUCUCUUCUUUUGUUUUUGGGCAAAUUUCACUAGUAGCAUUCAAAUAGAUUUUAGCAGCAGUAAAAACCUAAAAUAAUAAGGAGGGGUGAAAUAGUUCAUCUCCAGGUGAUGCCUCCGGGGCCCUGGUUCCACUAUUUUCUAUCUUUCUAAGCCCCGCUGUCAUCCUUUAGUCCCAUCCAGAACUUGGGGGCUCCCCAAGCAGCCUUUCACACGGCCUCCCUGGGUUAGAGCCGCAGCAAGGGCAUUUUCCUUCAAUUUUCCCACCCGGGCCCGUGGCGCACACGCGCAUCGUGCACACACAGUCACCCGGGCCCGUGGCGCACACGCGCAUCGUGCACACACAGUCACCCAGGCCGUGGGGCACACGCACAUCGUGCACACACAGUCACCCAGGCCCGUGGCGCACUCGCGCAUCGUGCACACACAGUCACCCGGGCCCGUGGCGCACAUGCGCAUCGUGUAUACACAGUUACUUUCAUGAUGAGAUUCUGGAAAUUACAGAGUAAGAAUGAUUUUCUAAUAAAUACUACAUAGAAUGAACUUGAGUUUUUCAGUGUGUCUUGUUCUGUUCAGGUCUGCACCAGAUCUGCACGGGUCUGCCUGCUGGUUCCCGCAGUUCAGACUCGGCUGCCGCGGAGCCUGGUGUCCGGGGCCGAUGACAGAAGUCCCUCACUCUGUCUAGGCCACCUGGCCUCUGGCUUUGCCUCGGGUCCAGCCUGUGUACGUGUGCCCCAGACGGCGUGUCUUGUCCGCUCCGCCUGAGAUCUGGACUGUCUGUGGUUUCCCAGUUCACAUACGGCACUACGGACCCGCACUGAGCAGUGUUUUGUACUUGCAGUGCAGUUUGGUCAAGGAAAGGUGGAGUUCCUUAGCUUUCCCUUGUUCCUGCGCAGGACUAGUAGACCAGUGGUUUCAGUCCCCUCCUCUCAGCUCUCCUUUUCUCCUGCCGCUGGGACCCUUAAUCAGUACGUUAACUCUGCUCCCUGACGUUCUCCGUUCAGACUGGUGACGUGGUCCUCACUCUUCUGUGCCACAUUCCUCAAGCAAGAUGUAAUGUAGAUAAGAUUGAUCUUUGGGCCACUCUUUCUUGGAAAAGCUACCUUUCUACUCCUUAAAGGUUGUGAGAAGUGAUGCAGAUUAGUCUUCCUGUUUAGUAGUGUGCCUUGGGCAGGUAAUAUGGUGAACAAGACAGUUUAAUGACCAGCCCAAAGCAACUCUGCGUCUAGGGUGCAGGGGCAGAAAGGCGCGGCCUGUAGGACCCCCGUGAGCCGCAGGCUUCUGCUCACUCUGCUGGAGCUUACCUGACGGGCCCCGAGGUUGGGCAGCGGGGCUUUCAGAGUCGUGUACUCAGUGCAGAGCCUCUGCAUGCGCGUGGUGCUGUGGACCUGAGGAGCAGAGCUGUGCCCUUCCCAUCUGGGCAGCCCCCUGUGCUGGGAAACUGUACCCCUCCCAAGCUGGUCUUGGAGGACUUGUGGGAGGUUGGUGGUGGGAAGAGUUGGUGGGGGUCUCCUAGGCCAUGUUUUGUGCCUUGCAUUCCCUUUUCACGUUGUUAUGGUAUCAGGGAAUAUACCCGUGGGAAACUGUCCUUCGACUUUGAUACUGGGAUUCUGUGUUGGGUGGAAAGUUGAGUAUGAUACGUAGAAGUGUGGGAGAAGAAGUAUCAAACAGCAUGUGGUGCUACCCUACUUUUGAAAAAGAAGUAGUUGAUAAAAGUGUAUGUUUAGAAAUGUCUGGGAGGAGAAACCUCAAACGGUUGUGAUGAUCUCUCGGUGGGGGGGGAUUAUGUGUGGUUUACCUUACUUUUUUUUGCACUUUUAUAUAUUUUAUUUCUUUUAAAGCAUUGAACAUACAUUAUUUUUGUAUUAAGAAAAAUAAAAGUUUUCACCUUGGGGGAAAAAAUCUUUCCAUUAUUUCCAGGCCAGGCUUGCACUCCUGAUCGACCUUCAGCUAAUACUGCUGCUUGUCCUGGAGGUGAGCAGGAGAGCAGGAGAGCCUCUCAUGUGUCGACGCCCAUCUUCUGCAUCUUAGUAUUACGUGCUUAGAUACGUCAUUCACCUUUUUCCCUCCUUUUUCUUUUGUGUUUUUCUUAAUACCCAUAUGUAACCCAGAAUAACGGUCUUUAAAGACCAACCCAUAUGAUAUCCACCAUUUGCUGCCAACACAAUUCUCCAAGAGUCAUUCAGUUCUUAAAAAUUACUGGACAAUGAAUCCAGAGACAUCCCAAAACACCAAAGAUGUGUUUUUGUGGCUGUUUUGGGGAUUACUUGUCAUUGUCAACUGGGUUACAGCCUAACCUCUGCAAUUCAGGAGAAAUUACUUGUGGUUUCUCUGUAUUCCCGAAAGAGACCAGACCAGUUUUUGAAGGCAGGGUUGUCUUUUACUCAAAACUACCUGUUCAUCCCCAUCCAGCUCAGCCGAGCACAGUGCCGUUGCAGGGCUUUCUAAAUGUCAGUUCGUUGGAUCGCACUGAAACACUGACGUGAAAUUGAGGGCAGAAUCACUUCACUUAUUUUUCUGUCAGGGUUUGGAUUAUAUGCUGUGAAGCUUGGUGGGAGCAGCAGCGAGCAAAUCAUUGUAGAAAAGUUAAUGAGUUAUAGAGACAUCUCUUACAAGGUAAUAAUUACCAUAUUAAUGCCUGACAUUUAUUCUGUACUCAACAGAUGCCAGACCCUGAGCUCAGGGCUUUUUAUUGUUGACUCAUUUAACUUACCCCUAAGAAGGUGGUAUUAUCCUGAUUUUACAGGUGAGGAAACGUGAAACUGAGAGGUUAAGUAACAUGUCGGAGUCAUGCAGCUUAGCAGGCACACUGGGAGUGGGAGUUUAGUUAACAGUUGCUAAGGGGCUGUAAGCAGAAGUCAUUUGGUGGUGCUUCCAGGAAAGCUUCUUAAAUGAUUAACUCUGUUGGGAGGCUUAUCCUUUGUGCUUCUCCGAAUCCUCACCUGCCUUUUUCCGGUCUGAAAUGUGGACAUGAUGGCUGGAUCUCCAGCAGCCAUCUUGGACUAUGAGACGAUCUUCGGGAUGGAAGACAGAAGAAGCUGGGAUCUGCGAUGACCAUGGAACCACCAUACCAGUCCUGGACAGUCUAUCUCUGGGCUUCUUUGGAAGACACAAAUAAAUCUCUGCCUUGUUUAAGCCA
RNA transcript from Mustela lutreola (European mink), 4342 nucleotides. It is a transcript of the gene named single stranded DNA binding protein 1, with no coding region annotated. The transcript is spliced from 8 exons. The record is from RefSeq and is a predicted model, not a curated record. Lineage: Eukaryota; Metazoa; Chordata; Mammalia; Carnivora; Mustelidae.